GUCGAACGGUGUCUUCGGACACAGUGGCGGACGGGUGAGUAACGCGUGAGAAUCUGCCAUCAGGUCUGGGACAACCACUGGAAACGGUGGCUAAUACCGGAUGUGCCCGUAAUUGGGUGAAAGGUUAACUGCCUGUUGAUGAGCUCGCGUCUGAUUAGCUAGUUGGAAGUGUAAUGGACUCCCAAGGCGACGAUCAGUAGCUGGUCUGAGAGGACGAUCAGCCACACUGGGACUGAGACACGGCCCAGACUCCUACGGGAGGCAGCAGUGGGGAAUUUUCCGCAAUGGGCGAAAGCCUGACGGAGCAAUACCGCGUGAGGGAGGAAGGCUCUUGGGUCGUAAACCUCUUUUCUCAGGGAAGAACACAAUGACGGUACCUGAGGAAUAAGCAUCGGCUAACUCCGUGCCAGCAGCCGCGGUAAUACGGAGGAUGCAAGCGUUAUCCGGAAUGAUUGGGCGUAAAGCGUCCGCAGGUGGCAAUGUAAGUCUGCUGUUAAAGAGUCUAGCUCAACUAGAUAAGAGCAGUGGAAACUACAUAGCUAGAGUACGUUCGGGGCAGAGGGAAUUCCUGGUGUAGCGGUGAAAUGCGUAGAGAUCAGGAAGAACACCAGUGGCGAAGGCGCUCUGCUAGGCCGUAACUGACACUGAGGGACGAAAGCUAGGGGAGCGAAUGGGAUUAGAUACCCCAGUAGUCCUAGCCGUAAACGAUGGAUACUAGGCGUG
This 723-nucleotide ribosomal RNA is filed under the name Nostoc sp. 'Peltigera sp. K13 cyanobiont'. RNAcentral's name for it is "bacterial SSU rRNA". It matches the Rfam family "Bacterial small subunit ribosomal RNA", at positions 61 to 824 of the family's 1533-position model. Lineage: Bacteria; Bacillati; Cyanobacteriota; Cyanophyceae; Nostocales; Nostocaceae. The record is from RNAcentral. RNAcentral also lists the same sequence under 6 other names.